GCCCUCUGGUUGAUCCUGGCGGAGGCCAUUGCUAUCGGUGUCCGAUUUAGCCAUGCGAGUUGUACGUUUACCGUAGCAAACUGCUCAGUAACACGUGGCCAAACUGCCCUAUGGACCGGAAUAACCUCGGGAAACUGAGGCUAAUUCCGGAUACCACAUUCAUCCUGGAACUGGAGAAUGUGCGAAAUGCUCCGGCGCCAUAGGAUGUGGCUGCGGCCGAUUAGGUAGACGGUGGGGUAACGGCCCACCGUGCCGAUAAUCGGUACGGGUCAUGAGAGUGAGAGCCCGGAGACGGACUCUGAGACACCGAGUCCGGGCCCUACGGGGCGCAGCAGGCGCGAAACCUUUACACUGCACGACAGUGCGAUAGGGGGACACCGAGUGCGAGGGCAUAGAGCCCUCGCUUUUCUGAACCGUAAGGAGGUUCAGGAACAAGGGCUGGGCAAGACCGGUGCCAGCCGCCGCGGUAAUUCGGGCUAGAGCGGCCGCCACCGCGGUGG
RNAcentral lists this ribosomal RNA (500 nucleotides) under uncultured archaeon. RNAcentral describes it as "bacterial SSU rRNA". It matches the Rfam family "Archaeal small subunit ribosomal RNA", at positions 1 to 506 of the family's 1478-position model. The record is from RNAcentral.